This 1082-nucleotide ribosomal RNA is filed under the name uncultured bacterium. RNAcentral describes it as "bacterial SSU rRNA". It matches the Rfam family "Bacterial small subunit ribosomal RNA", at positions 8 to 1100 of the family's 1533-position model. The record is from RNAcentral.
AGAGUUUGAUCCUGGCUCAGAUUGAACGCUGGCGGCAUGCUUAACACAUGCAAGUCGAACGCGAAAGUGGGCUUCGGCCCACGAGUGGAGUGGCGGACGGGUGAGUAACGCGUAGGAAUCUGCCCUAAAGCGGGGGACAACCUGGGGAAACUCGGGCUAAUACCGCAUAAUCUCUUCGGAGCAAAGCAGGGGACCUUCGGGCCUUGCACUUUAGGAUGAGCCUGCGUCAGAUUAGCUUGUUGGUGGGGUAAAAGCCUACCGAGGCGACGAUCUGUAGCUGGUCUGAGAGGACGAUCAGCCACAUUGGGACUGAGACACGGCCCAAACUCCUACGGGAGGCAGCAGUGGGGAAUAUUGGACAAUGGGCGCAAGCCUGAUCCAGCAAUGCCGCGUGUGUGAAGAAGGCCUACGGGUUGUAAAGCACUUUCAGUAGGGAGAAAAAACUCAAGGUUAAUACCCUUGAGCAUUGAUGUUACCUACAGAAGAAGCACCGGCUAACUCUGUGCCAGCAGCCGCGGUAAUACAGAGGGUGCAAGCGUUAAUCGGAGUUACUGGGCGUAAAGCGUGCGUAGGCGGAUAUUCAAGUCGGGUGUGAAAGCCCCGGGCUCAACCUGGGAACUGCAUUCGAUACUGGAUAUCUAGAGUAUGAUAGAGGAAAGUGGAAUUUCCGGUGUAGCGGUGAAAUGCGUAGAUAUCGGAAAGAACACCAGUGGCGAAGGCGACUUUCUGGAUCAAUACUGACGCUGAGUACGAAAGCGUGGGAGCAAACAGGAUUAGAGACCCUGGUAGUCCACGCCGUAAACGAUGAGAACUAGGCGUUAGUUCCGCUUCGGUGAAUUAGUGCCAAAGCUAACGCGUUAAGUUCUCCGCCUGGGGAGUACGAUCGCAAGAUUAAAACUCAAAGGAAUUGACGGGGGCCGCACAAGCGGUUGGAGCAUGUGGUUUAUUCGAUGAUACCCGAAAACCUUACCUACCCUUGAAUCCUCGGAUUCUUCUAGAGAUAGAGAAGUGCUUCCGGACGAUGACAGUGCUGCAUGCCUGUCGUCAGCUCUGUCUGAAAUGUGGGUAGUCCAACGAGCGCA